AAGAACUAUUAUAAUACAACUUAUAAUACAACUUCUUCUCAUAAAUCUGUUGAAGUGUGCAAACCAUGAACAUCUUACCGAUUUCAUAACCAUCUCAAUGCAGACUGUUUUUACGUCAUUUCCACAAUGCCACCUCAUCUUUGCUGGAGGACUCUUAUGAAUACCCUGAUUUACAGUGCAUUAAAUCUGAGAUUGAUCAGCUUUGGCUCUGAUGUCAUUUGAGUCAGGAACUUUCAAUCUUUUAAUUGCAGAGCAAAACUGCUUGGACGUUGCCCAAGCUUAAGCAGACUUCAGGGUGGUGGAUUUGAUCCAGGCUAAGAUUAAUAUGCUACCCAGACCUAAGAAGAAUAAGAAGCCAGAGCCUCAGACUAAUGCCAGCUUCAACCCCUGGCUCUACAAAAGAAAAGCAGGGCACCGUUCCCACUUCUACAGCCUCCUAAAACUCAGCAGUCAAGAAAGCAAUGAAGAAAGACAGUGUUAUCGUGUACAGCACUCAGAUCACUACUGGCAAGCUCAACAAAUUGGACAUCCUUUUUUUGCCAAGAACGACGUGGCAAAAUCAUCUGACCACCAGUGAGCUGAUGGAUAGGAAAGCAAGGAGGAGGCAGCAUUUCAGUUUUGAGGUCUAACGCACUGAGGUUGAGCGGCAUACAGAGUUGGAGUAAGUGCCCAUACAGUAUAUCAGUGACAGGGUUCAGAGGCUGAGAUCGUGGAGCUGAGCACUGCGGAGCCAGCAGGGUGAAGCUGGCAGAGAUCUGCUCUGCACUCCAUCGAUCUGGCAGAGCUGGAGUGGGUCAAUGUUUCAGCACUGGGCAGCUUCAUUUUCACUGCAGUGGAGGUGUCUGCUGUUCCACCUCUGGGCACAAACAGAGCCAUAUAAACACACACGCACACAGUCUUGCAUAGAUGGAAGCUGCAGUUCAUUAAGCUGCAGAAGGCACCGAGGUACUAGUUUCCCUCUGAGCAGCCCUUAAGGGUAAGAUCUGCCAGUAAAAACCUGGUAAAAUAAAAAUGCUGCAUCAGGCCUGCA
Molecule: long non-coding RNA, 1030 nt
Organism: Cyprinus carpio (common carp)
Lineage: Eukaryota; Metazoa; Chordata; Actinopteri; Cypriniformes; Cyprinidae
Source: Ensembl